GUCCUUAGUGUGGCUGACAUUGAUUAGGUAAUUAGACUGCAUCUUACACUAUUCCAGAUGCUUUCCAGGCAUCCAUGUAUUUAACAUUCACAUCAACUUUGUGAUCUAAAUACUAUUAUUACUCCUACUUUGUUGCAGAGGAAAUAAAUCCUGGAUAUGUUAAAUACCUCCCUAAGGGACACAACCUAAAAACAUUGGAGCCAGUAUUCAAAUCAAGGCUACCGGGCUCCAGAGCUCACCUUCUAACCAUCACAUUUUACUGUUUCUCAUGAGCAAAGGCUUGGAUGAAGAAAUGGGAAUGAUUAUUCAGAGGCUUGAAAUAAAUGACCAUUCAACUAUUCCUAAAUUAGCCUGGAUAACAGAGUCCCAGCAUCACAGGUCAGGACUAAGAACUUUGGCUACUCAGCAGUUUUUCUGCCAGUCAUGGACCUGGGUUUAGCUUGAAUGAUAAUUGCCUUCUUUCCUUUCAACCCAAGCACAUUGUCAGCAUGGCAACUAUGGAUUUCAGCCUGACAGUGUCAUGCUGCUUGCAGAUGGCAGGAGAGGGCAGCAAUGCCAAAAUGAGACAGAGUGCAUUGCAGUAUGCUACAUCAUUGCCAUGGGCACUCAACAGAAUUGAAUUCACCUUCCUUGUCAAGAAAUCAUACCAAAGAGCAUAGCAAAGAGCAAAGCAAAGGCAUUGCUAUAUCUGAUGAAACUGGUCUGCCAGUAUGUGUUUCUCAUCAUUUCCUAACUGAAGCUCCAGAUUUAGUGAAACUGGAAAGAGCCAACCAGUGCUCUCUUUUCCCCAAGACUCCACAUAAAGCAUUUUUAUUAGAGAUAGUGAUAUUUAGUCAACCUAAUGAUGCCAUCAGUUUGGCCAGAUACCAAAAUCAAUGCCCUAGCUAUUUGUCCGGCAUCUGUGCUGCUGAAGACAGGGCUUUCUGUUGACUCCAUAAAUUAAAGAUCAAGUAGCAACAAGGAAGGCUGGAGAAGCUGAUUCCCAGGAAAACAAUGAAGCAAAGCACCUGAACAACACCUCAGAACAGAUAGUAGCCCCUGUGAAACUGGAGCGGUGACCUGGCAUCCUCCAUUGUGCCUUCUAUUACCCCUUUAGUUGAUGGAUUGAGGGGAGACUUCCAGGUUAGUGAGCGAGAACUUGGGGGAGUGGGAGAUGAGGGAGAGGGGCGGUGGCUAUUGAUCGACUGGAAUGCAGAUCUUUACGUAUUUUAAUAAUAUGCAUGCUUAUAUGAUAGCAAAAUGUUUGCAAUUCAGCCCUGACCUUAUUUUCUAUUUAAACAAAACAAAACAAAACAAAACAAAAACCUGUAUUUCUUAAGCACCUAGCUUAAAGUUUACUAGCAAAGGGAGAUAUCUAGUUUCUGGUCUCAAAACAUGAAUAUCUACCUAAAGAAAAGCAGCUAAAAUGUCUAGAGUGCUAAAUAAAUUUUAUAUUUAAGUAUAAAUUGUUUGGAGAAGAUUAUAAGUAGUACGUAAAUUAAAGAAGAGAUUCCUCAGUGGCCAAGAGUAAUUGAGGAAUAGAGAAUUUACUGUGAAGGCAUUGAAACUUGAAUUUGAGGGUUAGGCAGGAUAUAAGACAGGCAUGGAAAAGGAUGUAGGUAGAACAUUGCUCAAAUAAGAAGAACAGAUAAGCAAAGGAAAGGGCUGCCCAUUCCUCCCUUGAGUACAAGGGCAGAUUGUAGACAGGCCUGUAUAGGUGCUAAUGGCUCAUGUAUAUGCAAUGUUGACAUGUUAUGUUGAUGUCAGGGACAUUUUGACAAUGAUGAGUAGCAAAUCAAUUGUUUCUUAUUCUUUUUUUUCAAUUAUCAAGUAAUAUGUACAAUACAUUUGCUAGUUCUCAGUCUAUGUGUUAGAUUUCUUGCAGAUCCCAAGCCCCAUAGAAAAAGAUCCCCUGGGUCAAAAUAGCCUUCUUAAAAUGGCCACCGGAGUUCGACUCUGAAAAUCUGGACUCUUCAGCUAAAAUAGUUACACUUGAAAGGCUGAAGUUAGCAGUUCAGGCCUAAACUUAAUUUUUAAAAUCCACUCCUGAGUCAAGUGCACCUGUUGAGAAGGAUGGCACAAGAGGGAGAAGCUAUCUAUUUGUAUCCCUGUUUGUGUUUCUUUAGAAGGAACAGUAACUCAUGUGAGGCAAAAUCAAGCAAACGUCUUAAUUUUGCGAUCCAACACUCUAACUUGCAAUUACAGACUAAUCAGGUGUGUGUCCUCUGACAAGUGAUAGCUUAAUAGGCUAUAUUUUUGAGAUUAAAAAACAUACCAAAAUAUGGCAGAUAGAUAAAAAUAGGUGAAAGCAUAUAGAUUUGUAUUUGGUUUCUCAUAUCAUACCUAUGAUAACCAAUAUUAAAACAGGAGUUAUCUGCCCUUUAGAGUUCAUGUUCAUCCUUUCUAUAUUUUUAAUCUUUAUGCAAGAGAUGAGCCAAUCUUAUGAGUAAAGGUUACAUACCGAAACUGAGAAAAAUAAUAUUCUAAGUGCAAGUGUAUACUAUCAAAAUGAUGAAAUGUAAACAAAGACAUACUCAGAUAAUUUCUCCCUCACAAUUACAUGUCUACAGUGCUUUCUUGCUAGCCAUGUCUGAAUUUCAAGAAAGAUAUGCAAAGUAUUUCAUAAGUCAUGGGUACCCACCUACACAAAAGAGAUCCAACAUAAAAAGGUAUAUGACUAUACUGGUGCAAAACAACUGAUUAUUAGGUCUUUAUAUUUUCUCUCUAAAUAACAUGUAGCAAUGGUCACAGUCUACACACCAUACCACUUGUAACUUCUUUUUAUCUGGCUUAAUGAUAUCAUGUAUAAUCCUUAGGAAAUAAAAUAAUUAUUGUCUCUGAGGAUUAAUUUAGAAAAUCAAA
Long non-coding RNA from Sapajus apella (tufted capuchin), 2841 nucleotides. RefSeq lists it as uncharacterized. NCBI's taxonomy places the organism in Eukaryota, Metazoa, Chordata, Mammalia, Primates, Cebidae. The transcript is spliced from 4 exons. The record is from RefSeq and is a predicted model, not a curated record.